GACGAACGCUGGCGGCGUGCUUAACACAUGCAAGUCGAACGGUGAAGCGCCUUCCUUUUUGGUGGGUGUGGAUGAGUGGCGAACGGGUGAGUAACACGUGAGUAACCUGCCCCCUUCUUCUGGAUAACCGCAUGAAAGUGUGGCUAAUACGGGAUAUUCUGGGUCUGUCGCAUGAUGGGUCUGGGAAAGAUAUUGUUUCGGUGGGGGAUGGGCUCGCGGCCUAUCAGCUUGUUGGUGGGGUGAUGGCCUACCAAGGCGGUGACGGGUAGCCGGCCUGAGAGGGUGGACGGUCACGCUGGGACUGAGCCACGGCCCAGACUCCUACGGGAGGCAGCAGUGGGGAAUAUUGCACAAUGGGCGCAAGCCUGAUGCAGCGACGCCGCGUGAGGGAUGGAGGCCUUCGGGUUGUGAACCUCUUUCGCCAGUGAAGCAGGCCUGCCUCGUUUGUGGGUGGGUUGACGGUAGCUGGAUAAGAAGCGCCGGCUAACUACGUG
Molecule: ribosomal RNA, 494 nt
Filed under: uncultured bacterium
Lineage: Bacteria
Description: partial 16S ribosomal RNA
Rfam family: Bacterial small subunit ribosomal RNA
Source: RNAcentral